CUAGGGUGUGGGAAUAUGGGUUAUAGGUGUGUGAUAACGGCUGAGUCCACUGAUUGAUUUAGUAUGGUUGUGGAUGAUGGAAUAACUGAAGAGGGAAGACCCAUCCUGGAUGUGCAUGGCACCACCAGUGGGCUUGUAGCCUGGAUAGAAUAUAACAGGAAAGAAGGAAGGCUGCUUCCUGUCUCCUGCCUACCCUGCCAUGGACUGUUUCUCCUCUGUAAUGCCACCUUUCCUUGGAGCCAGCUGUCUGGAAUGAAACCUCUACCAACUAUAAGAUCAACUCAUCUCUUCCUCGGCAAAUUCGCACACUUCAAGCUUUCCCUGGCGUGGCCUACACGACGGAGGAUACCCUCUUCUCACUAGCUGGUAAUCCAGCCCUUACUGCUGACCACAAUAAGGCCUGGCCAACAAGUCCCAUGAGGAACAGGACAUCCACCUGUUAGGGCAGAGCCCCACCCUCUUAAUUACCCCCAAACCUCACCUCCUCAUAGGUCCCACAGGAUUAGGGUUUCAACCUUGGAGCACUCUGUGGGCUAAGUGCGUGUCAAGGGAGGAGGGACGAAGCCCAGGG
Molecule: long non-coding RNA, 571 nt
Filed under: Heterocephalus glaber (naked mole-rat)
Lineage: Eukaryota; Metazoa; Chordata; Mammalia; Rodentia; Bathyergidae
Description: lncRNA (ENSHGLG00100036371.1)
Source: RNAcentral